CACACAUUUGUAGCACGUUCUUCUUAGUACACAGUAGUGUACUAAGGCUCCCCUCUGCUGUCUCUUCCAUUUGCUCUUCUGCUUUCCUUCCUGAAUGCUGCUUCUUUUUAUGGAAGGGUACAUUGGGCAGCAGGAUCAAAGGAAGUGGAGUCCAUAAAAGGAGAUCUGUUUUCUACAGGCAGCAGGCCAAUGUGUGGACUAAUCCAUCAUACCUGGAGGUUGUCAAGAUCAAACGUCAAGUGUCUUCUUUGUCAGUAUUUGAAAGCAGUGAUGUUUUAUACCAAGGUGAAUCAUUAUUCUCUACAACAGAUUAAGUAACACAAUUAAGGACAAUGGCAGAUGAAAAACAAGAUUUGUAAGUUUUGGAAGUGGUCAAAAGUGAAUCAUCAGGUUAAUCCGGCUUGGAUAAUGAUAACUUUGAUGCUGGUGGUGCAAGCCAAAGUUCCUGUGACAGAGAAAUGGCACAAGAAAUGUAUUCUGGAACUUACCUACCAGGUGUACAUUGUACAAUAUAGUAGGAAGCUCCUGACAAAACAGGAAGACAAGAUAUGUGACAAGACCAUCCUGCCGUAUAGGAAAGGAAAGCUAAGCACAUGUGCUGUCAGUGUAAGCGAUGUGUGUGUACGGAACAUGCUGUUGUCAUGUGUGAAGAUUGCCUGGG
Heterocephalus glaber (naked mole-rat) is the source of this 661-nucleotide long non-coding RNA. RefSeq lists it as uncharacterized. NCBI's taxonomy places the organism in Eukaryota, Metazoa, Chordata, Mammalia, Rodentia, Bathyergidae. The record is from RefSeq and is a predicted model, not a curated record.